RNAcentral lists this long non-coding RNA (263 nucleotides) under Salvia miltiorrhiza (redroot sage). Its description in RNAcentral is "long non-coding RNA (SMIL_LNC013431)". The record is from RNAcentral. Lineage: Eukaryota; Viridiplantae; Streptophyta; Magnoliopsida; Lamiales; Lamiaceae.
UUGAAUUUCGUUGUUGUUCUACAAUACUGGAUACUUAUAAAGACAAGUAAAGGAGCAUCUCUAUAUCCUAAUGUAACCAUUUAUUCUAGCUGAAAAUCCAUAACCAAAAAUCAUCAAGAAGAUAAUAUACUACUGAAAGACAUUAUAUGAUUUUUGCAUGAAAAUUCAGAUUCAAUCAGCAAAUAUCUUAUGACAUGCUCUAUAUAGUAGUUAAUUCAACUCCGCAAUCAUCUGAUGAAACUAAUAUCUCAACAAUCAAAUAC